Molecule: long non-coding RNA, 230 nt
Organism: Molossus molossus (Pallas's mastiff bat)
Lineage: Eukaryota; Metazoa; Chordata; Mammalia; Chiroptera; Molossidae
Exons: 3
Source: RefSeq, a predicted model, not a curated record
GCGCAACUGCCAAUUUGGGACGGAAACUUGUUGGAAUUUCUGCCUCUGGUGGAUUUUAAUGGUAGGUUACCGUCGGUGAUAGCUGGCGAGUCUAAGCCGAUCCGGGGGAUGCCACUGUGAUUUAGGGGAACACGAUGUGUUUGGAAAGACCUAGAGGGAGUACAAUGGGACGAAAGCUGUUUUCUGUCAAUGUUUAUGGGAAAAGGAGAAAUCGGAGGAGAGUUUGGGAG